RNAcentral lists this transfer RNA (81 nucleotides) under Gordonia phage Neville. Its description in RNAcentral is "tRNA-Tyr". It matches the Rfam family "tRNA". From Rfam's summary of the family: Transfer RNA (tRNA) molecules are approximately 80 nucleotides in length. The record is from RNAcentral. Lineage: Duplodnaviria; Heunggongvirae; Uroviricota; Caudoviricetes. RNAcentral also lists the same sequence under 2 other names.
CCGGGUAACCGCAUGGAGCGGAAUGGGACUGUAAAUCCCAGGCGGAAACGCACCGGAGGUUCGAUUCCUUCUACCCGGACC